AUUACAGAGCCUUUUAUACUUCCGGGACAGCAGUGACUUAAUACUGAGGCCUCUCAGGGGAAGACCGGGAUAACUGAGUCCUGCUUUACCUAUCUCGGCUUGCAAGAAACGGUAUAGGUGGAGGCCUCUUUCAGUGUAUGCCGGCGCUCUAGGUGAACCGAGACAUAGAGGUGGAAGUGGAGUAGAAAGACGGGGCCAACCGGAAGGGGCGGGCUCAUGGGCGAACCCACCCCUCCAGGCAGGGUUUCGCCCCUCGCCCCGCCCCUUCCCCCGCCCGGACGGCCAUGGCCAUUCCCGGCAUCCCCUAUGAGAGACGGCUUCUCAUCAUGGCGGACCCUAGAGAUAAGGCGCUUCAGGACUACCGCAAGAAGUUGCUUGAACACAAGGAGAUCGACGGCCGUCUUAAGGAGUUAAGGGAACAAUUAAAAGAACUUACCAAGCAGUAUGAAAAGUCUGAAAAUGAUCUGAAGGCCCUACAGAGUGUUGGGCAGAUCGUGGGUGAAGUGCUUAAACAGUUAACUGAAGAAAAAUUCAUUGUUAAAGCUACCAAUGGACCAAGAUAUGUUGUGGGUUGUCGUCGACAGCUUGACAAAAGUAAGCUGAAGCCAGGAACAAGAGUUGCUUUGGAUAUGACUACACUAACUAUCAUGAGAUAUUUGCCGAGAGAGGUGGAUCCACUGGUUUAUAACAUGUCUCAUGAGGACCCUGGGAAUGUUUCUUAUUCUGAGAUUGGAGGGCUAUCAGAACAGAUCCGGGAAUUAAGAGAGGUGAUAGAAUUACCUCUUACAAACCCAGAGUUAUUUCAGCGUGUAGGAAUAAUACCUCCAAAAGGCUGUUUGUUAUAUGGACCACCAGGUACGGGAAAAACACUCUUGGCACGAGCCGUUGCUAGCCAGCUGGACUGCAAUUUCUUAAAGGUUGUAUCUAGUUCUAUUGUAGACAAGUACAUUGGUGAAAGUGCUCGUUUGAUCAGAGAAAUGUUUAAUUAUGCUAGAGAUCAUCAACCAUGCAUCAUUUUUAUGGAUGAAAUAGAUGCUAUUGGUGGUCGUCGGUUUUCUGAGGGUACUUCAGCUGACAGAGAGAUUCAGAGAACGUUAAUGGAGUUACUGAAUCAAAUGGAUGGAUUUGAUACUCUGCAUAGAGUUAAAAUGAUCAUGGCUACAAACAGACCAGAUACACUGGAUCCUGCUUUGCUGCGUCCAGGAAGAUUAGAUAGAAAAAUACAUAUUGAUUUGCCAAAUGAACAAGCAAGAUUAGACAUACUGAAAAUCCAUGCAGGUCCCAUUACAAAGCAUGGUGAAAUAGGUAAGGAAGUCAUCUAUUUUAUAUGUAUUUACAUUUGGUAAAUGAAGAAAAAUACUUUUAGAAAUUACUGAUAGUUUCCUAAAUCUGGUUUUAAAUUCAGCAAAUGUGGUGGUUUUAAAUUCAGCAAAUAGUUAUUGAGCAUCUACUAUAAGCUAGGAACCAUUGUAAGUGUUUUAUAAGGGCUGACAAUAUAGCAAGGAACAAAACAGACAAAUUUCUGCCAUUAGAGAACUUACAUUCUUGUUAGGAAAAAACAGAUAAAGUUAGUAAAACAAAGUAUAAUAGAUGAUGAUAAGUGCUAUGGAGAAAAAUAAAGCAAGAAAGUGGGGGGCGGGCAUGGUGGCUCACUCCUGUAAUCCUAAUGGUUUGGGAGGCCGAGGCAGAAGGACCGCUUGAGGCCAGGAGUUUGAGGUUGCAGGGAGCUAUGAUCAUGUGACUGCACUCCAGUUUGGCAAGACGCUGUUUCAGGGGGGAAAAAAAAGAAAAGGGGGAUAGGAAAUUAGGGAAGUGCCAGGACCAGGCAUGAGGAUAUGUUUUUAAAUGACAGGGAGGAUUAGCACAGGGAAGGCCUUACCAAGAAGGUAAUUUAUUUUUUAGAGACAGGGUCUCACUCUUGCCCAGGCUGGAGUGCAAUGGUGUGAUCCCAGCUCACUGCAACUUCUGCCUCCCAAGCUCAAAUGAUCCUCACACCUCAGCCUCCUGAUUAGCUGGGACUACAGGCACACACCACCAACCCUGGCUUGUUUUUUUGUAGGGAUGGGGUUUCACCAUGUUGCCCAGGCUGAUCUUGAACUACUGGGCUCAAGCAAUCUGCCCACCUCGGCCACCCAAAGUUCUGGGAUAACAGGCGUGUGCCACUGCACCCGGCCUGGUUGUUUGUUUGUUUGUUUUUUAAAUUGAUUCCUGUUAAAUGCUGACAAUAGGUCAGAUAAAGAGUUCUCAGAGUAGACCUUUGGAUUUAACUACAUGGAGGUCAUUGGUAAUCUUGUCAAAAGUAGCUUCUUGGGAGUGGUGGAGGUGAAAGCCUAUUUCAGUUGGGUUUCAGAGAGAUUGGGAGGAGAGGCAUUGAGUUUAGACAUUUCUUUUAAGAGUUCUACAGAGGGGGCAGAAGAAGUAGAAGGGGAAUGCCGAUGAGGAGUUGGCAGAGUUUUCUGUAAGAUGGAAGAGUUUACGACCCCCCUGCCCUUUUUUUUUUUUUUUUAAUAAUGCUACUGGGAAUGACCUAGGAGAAAGAGAAAUUGGCAGUGUUCUUUCCUUGAAGAGGGAUUGGCCCUAUAUAUGUGUGUACUUUUAUGAGACUGGAGGAAAGGCAGAGUACAUAGAUGCUUAUGAUGACAGGUUCUUAGAUAGUGCAGGAACUUGUAGAAGUGUUUUUUUCUGAAUGCUUCUGUUUUCUCAGUGAAGUAGAAUGCACGUUCAGAAUGAAGAUAGGGAAGUGUUCUUAGAGAUUUGAAGACAAAGGAGAAGGUAUAAAGUCAUUAUCUAUGGAAGUGAGGGAUUGGACUAGGGUGCAGGCCAGUAAAACAUGGCUUGUGAACCAAAUUCUGCCUGCCCUGUGUUUUUGGAAACACACAAAGUUUUGUUGUAACCCAAGCAUGCUCAUUUAUCUAUUGUCUAUGGCUGCUUUCCUACUGGAAUAGCUGAGUUGAGUAGUUACAACAGAAACCAUAUGGCUUGCAAAGCAUACAGUAUUUACUCUCUGGCCCUUUACAUAAAAAGUUUGCUGACCUCCAGACUAGGGAAAUCUAGUAUAAUUUCCAGGCAGCCUUAAAAACUCUUUAGAAGUUAAUGGUCCAGAAUAAUGACAAAUAGCUGAUUGUUGACUUUCACUAUCUUCAUUGCCCCUGUUAGAGAGUUUUGAGCUGGAAAGACCGAACUGAACAAAGGAUGUCAAUGUAUAGGUUUCUUCCACAAAUACUGAGCUCUUGCUAGAUGCCAGAUACUGUGCUAGCCUUGGGAAUUCUUGCUCUCAGGAAGCUUACAAUGAACUUAAACCUGAUUAAAGACAAUUCAUGAAUAUAUGUGUGAUUUCAAAUAGAGAACGACAUGCCCUAUAUUGCCUGACCAAACGGUGCAUCAUCAAAGUUAUUCAAACUGUAGUAGCCUGUGCUGUCUUACUUCUCUUCCUAUUCUGUAUCAGAUCCAUUGUUGCUACCCCAAUCCUAUAGCUCUUUGAUUCAUGUCUGUUAUGUGGGUGGAUGGAGAACUCACUUUAUUACUGCUACCAUAGAUCUGAUACUUCACCACUUGAAUCUUGCACAGAAACCAGAGAAGCUAGCUAAUGCGUGCUGUAGCAUUUAAAAAUUCCAUGUGAUACAAUUAUGUAUGAUUACAUUUCAGUUUUGCUAUACUUUAUAUUUGGCUUGUAUGAUUAAAGUAAACAAAGUAAAUUCCAUUGUUAUAAUUGGUUUUGAGUGUUAUAGGUUUAUUCAAAUUCAAGAUUUGAUUACAGUUUUGAUAAGAGUCACAGCUUAACAGGUAUCUGGAGUUCACAUGUGCAUAGCUAUUUCACUGUAUAAAAAUAGAUUAAGAUAUUUUGAGAUUUUGGUGAUAUUUCCUGUUUUUAAAGUUUCAGGGGUGUGUCUAAUUCUUCUUGGUGCUGGUUUAUUUAACAGAAGUCUUAGUUUUUGGAUAUUAAUAUUGUGGAAAGUUAACAGAGCUGAUGUCUAGCUGAUCAAACUCAAAAUUAUGAAGCAAUUGUGAAGCUUUCGGAUGGCUUUAAUGGAGCAGAUCUGAGAAAUGUUUGUACUGAAGCAGGUAUGUUCGCAAUUCGUGCUGAUCAUGAUUUUGUAGUACAGGAAGACUUCAUGAAAGCAGUCAGAAAAGUGGCUGAUUCUAAGAAGCUGGAGUCUAAAUUGGACUACAAACCUGUGUAAUUUACUGUAAGAUUUUUGAUGGCUGCAUGACAGAUGUUGGCUUAUUGUAAAAAUAAAGUUAAAGAAAAUAAUGUAUGUAUUGGCAAUGAUGUCAUUAAAAGUAUAUGAAUAAAAAUAUGAGUAACAUCAUAAAAAUUAGUAAUUCAACUUUUAAGAUACAGAAGAAAUUUGUAUGUUUGUUAAAGUUGCAUUUAUUGCAGCAAGUUACAAAGGGAAAGUGUUGAAGCUUUUCAUAUUUGCUGCGUGAGCAUUUUGUAAAAUAUUGAAAGUGGUUUGAGAUAGUGGUAUAAGAAAGCAUUUCUUAUGACUUAUUUUGUAUCAUUUGUUUUCCUCAUCUAAAAAGUUGAAUAAAAUCUGUUUGAUUCAGUUCUCCUACA
RNA transcript from Pan troglodytes (chimpanzee), 4558 nucleotides. It is a transcript of the gene named proteasome 26S subunit, ATPase 6, with no coding region annotated. Lineage: Eukaryota; Metazoa; Chordata; Mammalia; Primates; Hominidae. The transcript has 14 exons. The record is from RefSeq and is a predicted model, not a curated record.